UAGAAACAUGAUAGGUGCUCGUCUUGAUGCAGUUUCAGAGAUUGCAGAAUCUAUGCAAACUCAUCGAACUUCUCAUACUUCUGUCUUGGAGAUGGAAGGUGCUGAUGUCACCAGUUCGCAACCGGAGAUACAUCAUAUAAUUGUUUCAGUUCUGUCCACUAUAGGAAGGCCACCAGAUAUCCAGCGGGGGCUUACAAGAAUCUUUCAUAGAAAAGCUACUGCUGCUGAGUUUAUUGCAGUCAUUCAAGCUAUCUUGAUUGCUGCGAAACAACUUCAGCGGCUUUUCAUUACGGAGGACAGAAGUACUAAUCUGCAAAGAGAGACCUUGCAUUCUGUCCUGUUGAGAAAGCUGAUAUCAAUUGCCUCAUCUUCUACUGUUAUUAAUGGUGCUGCUAAGCUUUUGUCUGCUUUAAACAAG
RNAcentral lists this unclassified non-coding RNA (418 nucleotides) under Hevea brasiliensis (rubber tree). Lineage: Eukaryota; Viridiplantae; Streptophyta; Magnoliopsida; Malpighiales; Euphorbiaceae. The record is from RNAcentral.